Molecule: ribosomal RNA, 720 nt
Filed under: Triticum aestivum (bread wheat)
Lineage: Eukaryota; Viridiplantae; Streptophyta; Magnoliopsida; Poales; Poaceae
Description: partial small subunit ribosomal RNA
Source: RNAcentral
AUGAUCCGCAUCCUCGCUAUGGGGGACACCGCGACGUUCGAGGCCAUGUACCUGGGCACCUGCAAAACCCUGACGCCGCUGAUGAGCAGCAAAUUCCCCGAGCUUGGCAUGAACUCCUCGCACUGCAACGAGAUGCCCUGGAUCAAGACCAUCCCCUUCAUCCACCUUGGCAAGCAGGCCACCCUGGUCGACCUCCUCAACCGGAACAACAGCUUCAAACCCUUCGCCGAAUACAAGUCGGACUACGUCUACCAGCCCGUCCCCAAGCCUGUGUGGGCGCAGAUCUUAUACGGCUGGCUCGUGAAGCCCGGAGCGGGGAUGAUGGUCAUGGACCCCUAUGGCGCCACCAUCAGCGCCACCCCCGAAGCGGCGACGCCGUUCCCUCACCGCAAGGGCGUCCUCUUCAACAUCCAGUACGUUAGCUACUGGUUCGCCGAAGCAGGCGGCGCCGCGGCGCUGCAGUGGAGCAAGGACAUGUACAAGUUCAUGGAACCUUACGUGAGCAAGAACCCCAGGCAGGCAUACGCCAACUACAGGGACAUCGACCUCGGCAGGAACGAGGUGGUGAACGACAUCUCAACCUACAACAGCGGCAAAAUCUGGGGCGAGAAGUACUUCAAGGGCAACUUCCAAAGACUCGCCAUUACCAAGGGCAAGGUUGAUCCUCAGGACUACUUCAGGAACGAGCAGAGCAUCCCGCCGCUGGUGGGGAAGUACUGA